This 253-nucleotide ribosomal RNA is filed under the name uncultured bacterium. RNAcentral's name for it is "partial 16S ribosomal RNA". It matches the Rfam family "Bacterial small subunit ribosomal RNA", at positions 524 to 776 of the family's 1533-position model. The record is from RNAcentral.
UACGUAGGGGGCGAGCGUUGUCCGGAAUCAUUGGGCGUAAAGCGCGUGUAGGCGGCCCGGUAAGUCCGCUGUGAAAGUCCAGGGCUCAACCCUGGGAUGCCGGUGGAUACUGUCGGGCUCGAGUCCGGAAGAGGCGAGUGGAAUUCCUGGUGUAGCGGUGAAAUGCGCAGAUAUCAGGAGGAACACCAAUGGCGAAGGCGGCCCCCUGGUUGGAUACUGACGCUGAGACGCGAAAGCGUGGGGAGCAAACAGG